GUUGGAACACCGGUUCUCCUACGAUGACCAAAGUUAAGCAACGUCAAGCCUCGUCAGUACCUAGAUGGGUGAUCACUCGGGAAUACCAGAUGCUGCAAG
Acanthosepion pharaonis is the source of this 99-nucleotide non-coding RNA. NCBI's taxonomy places the organism in Eukaryota, Metazoa, Mollusca, Cephalopoda, Sepiida, Sepiidae. The record is from the annotation of a GenBank genome assembly.